Molecule: ribosomal RNA, 1152 nt
Filed under: Triticum aestivum (bread wheat)
Lineage: Eukaryota; Viridiplantae; Streptophyta; Magnoliopsida; Poales; Poaceae
Description: partial small subunit ribosomal RNA
Source: RNAcentral
AUGCCCAUUGUGAAACCACCAGAGUGGGAUGGCAUGUCUGCCAAGGAGCAGUUGUUGUGGUACCUUGAGAGGUUAUGCGCUCAGGCAGAUGAGAUGAGCUCAGUGCUGGGUAUUGCAAGCGCGGGUGCCCCUCCCGUGGUUACCCCGCUCGAUCCGGCGGCCUCAACCACGACGCACCCCUCCUCGGCGCCCGUCCCCGACGUCUCCGGCUCCACCACCAAGGCCCAGGAAGUGCUCGAGGUCAUCCACGACGCAGCUCCUGUCUGUGUCGUGAUGGCGCCCGUCACCUGUUCGACAGAUGGCCCGAACCAAGCUGUCGCCUCCACCAACGUCAACGAGGUCCGCGACGCCACCACCAUCACCUACUCCGAGCCUGCGGUCGACAACAAGGAGGUCGAGCAUGUCACACCCGCGCUGGCAACGUCCUCCAUCAGCAGCGACACAUACUCUAUCACCAAGGAGGUUGUUCCUUCCAUGGCGAUCACCACCGACAUCGACCCCAAGGCUGAUGUCAAUACCACCCCAGUGACGAGCGAGGUGGACCACAAUGCCAUUCUCCUCAUCCCGAGCGAUCCUGCUGCACCAACACUGACCAGGUGGUGUUCGACGAACUCCUGCCGCCGCGACAGCAACCGACUGAGGUAUGUGCUCCACCCAGCUGCGACACCAUCGUGGCUGGUGCUACGACCAAAAGCAUGGCCAUCAUUUUGGAGGGAUCAUGCAGAGGAAACCGAGGUGCGACCGAUACCCUGGCCGUCGUUUUCACUGGGAAGGUUCCUGGAGCGUCCAUAUAUGAAUGUCCAGUUGCAUGGCAUUGGGUUCAAUAUCAGCUCCAUUCCUAGGGAACUCUUUCAUAUUGGAGAAUUGGUGUGCGAUACAUGGGAGUGGUGGUAUAAUCUCAGUGGACACUACAUAAGGAUAUUCUCUGGUCUGUCCUUAUGCUUAUGGCCCUUGAAACAGGACAAUGAGGAUUCAGAAUUCAGUAAGCAUGUCAAACUCUUUCAUGGCAGUCACUGGCUUGUGGAACUCUGUGCACGUGCUAGCACUAGUGCUCCUGUUAUGCAUCAGUCUUGUCUUGCAACUCUAGCUGUGCAUCUAUUUUGGACUGAAGAAAUUGGGUGUUCUGAGCAUAGAACUCGCCAUCAGCAUUGA